This 457-nucleotide long non-coding RNA is filed under the name Elaeis guineensis (African oil palm). RNAcentral describes it as "long non-coding RNA (EGUI_LNC050816)". Lineage: Eukaryota; Viridiplantae; Streptophyta; Magnoliopsida; Arecales; Arecaceae. The record is from RNAcentral.
ACAGAUGUGCCAGUAAGUUAUGGAGUAGGAGCACUGCAGCAUUAGGUGAUUUAGAGUUUCAUUGGUUUCAUUGCACAAUGGACAGUUUUUGAAUGUAGUGAUGCCUUAUUUAAUGAGGUUCUCUUUAAUUAAGACUCUAUCCUGGAAAGCAAGCUAGAAAAAUAGUUUUGCUUUCUCCAAAAUUGGGAGGCUCCAAAAUCAUUGUCCUAAAGGUGAGAUUAUGCCUCCAUUUAAGAGAAAAUUGUAGCAGGAUCGGACGUUGUAGACACCAAUAGAGCUCCAUUUCCAUUGCCAGAUAUUAGGCUCAAAGGUGCGGGAGAUAUUUAGCAGGAUGGUUGAGAGAUGUUGAAGUUCACUGUGAGCUUGAGAGGUAAUGGGAUGUCGGAAGGAUGCCCUCAAAAUUACUUGCUGUAAGAAAUCAGAAAUAGAGCAGUUUGGGUUCGUUGCAAAGAAGUAC